UCCGCGCAGGAAGAGAGGGGACACUAAGUGAGGCUCAGAGGCAUGGCACAGUGAGCUGUCUGGGGACCGGCUUCAGGAAGAUGGCAUUUGAGUGUGCUGGAAGCCAGGGCACUCGGUGGGAAGCAGGCAGAUUGUUCUAGGGGGAGGAAGUGGUGCAGCUAUUUUGAGAGAAGUUCAAAGACAUUAUAGCUGGACCAUGGCUUUGGUAAAAAGCAGAGGGUGCUGGAGACGCAAGAAGAACUUGGAGUGACAGGAGUGUGGACGGGAAGACCACCGGGAGGUCAGGACUGUGGUAUGGAAAUAGAUGGCGGACACGACACUUUUGGUAAUCACGGAGAGACUUCACAUGGAUUCUGGACAUGGCACGGACUUUCUAUUUCAUAUGCACUGAGCCUCAGGAAGAACUCACAGAGACAGGGCAGCAAUUCUGUGCUCACUGAAGUCUUUAGGAAGAGUUUCUGUGCUCCGAAGGCUCUAUCUUAACCUUUUCGGAAAAUCUGGACCACGUGAGGCAAAUGAUGAUAUCCAUCUCUAAAGAUAAAGUGCUUGCCAACAUUAAAGGUCGUCUCUUACUAAUGUACCGGAUUAAAGGCUUCACUCACCCAAUCAUUUAACUACAGGAAAACAAAAGCAUUUCAAUUAUACGCAAAUGAUCUUCUUAGGUAAUUUGUAGCUCAUUAAAAUUGAUAACAGAUGGUUGGUUUCAAAACAUCUCUUCACCCCCAAAUUUUCAGUUACAACCUAGGCAAUAUCCAUGUUGCUAAGAAGCACGAUUCUAGACUUUGUCAACUAUCUUGGGGUCCCAAGCCAAGACAUCCAAAGAGUCUUUGUUUCUGUUAACCUUGGGUUUCCCGCCCGGGCCUGUUCUUUGCAUUACUUCAUUCUCAUCUUCCAGUUCUAGCCUCUGAGAGGAGCCUCGGAGAAAACGCUCUGGUGGCUCUGUCUCAUAACUGUUCUCAGCCAGUGGACCUGUGGGUGGCGAGUUAUCAUGGUGCCACGUCUGCCCUUUGCAAAGCAUUCUGGGGCCUGCAGAGGGCUUGCUUUGCUUUGUUUUCUCUGUAGAAAUCCUAUCACUGUCCUUUCUGGAAGAACUGGUCCUUCUCUCAGCAGAUGAGGGUCCUCCUUCCCUGGGACAGGGAGAUGCUGGGGCUGUCUGGAGGGAAAGCAGGUAUUCAGAGAAGGCCCCAAAGGCCACAGGCUCCAGCUGACGAGGUGCGUGCUCUUGUGUAGCCGUACAUUUUAAAAGUUCCUACUGCCACACAGAAACUGUUCACGCGCCACAAAGACGUAGCUUGAAUUCCCACCGUACGGACGCACGCACGCGACCCGGCACUAGCAGACCCAGGAGCCAUCCUCCAGGGC
This is a non-coding RNA of Ictidomys tridecemlineatus (thirteen-lined ground squirrel), 1362 nucleotides long. The record is from RefSeq and is a predicted model, not a curated record. NCBI's taxonomy places the organism in Eukaryota, Metazoa, Chordata, Mammalia, Rodentia, Sciuridae.